RNAcentral lists this transfer RNA (103 nucleotides) under Deltaproteobacteria bacterium. RNAcentral's name for it is "tRNA-Sec". It matches the Rfam family "Selenocysteine transfer RNA". The record is from RNAcentral. RNAcentral also lists the same sequence under 2 other names. Lineage: Bacteria; Pseudomonadati; Myxococcota; Myxococcia.
GGAAGCGCUCGAGGUCUGGUGACCUCCGCGGUCUUCAAAACCGUACGUGGCGGCAGGCUUGACCGAACCGCCAGGUGGGUUCGAUUCCCAUGCGCUUCCGCCA